This 451-nucleotide ribosomal RNA is filed under the name uncultured Planctomycetaceae bacterium. Its description in RNAcentral is "bacterial SSU rRNA". It matches the Rfam family "Bacterial small subunit ribosomal RNA", at positions 31 to 486 of the family's 1533-position model. The record is from RNAcentral. Lineage: Bacteria; Pseudomonadati; Planctomycetota; Planctomycetia; Planctomycetales; Planctomycetaceae.
GAACGUUGGCGGCGUGGAUUAGGCAUGCAAGUCGCACGAGACACCAAUUAGCUUGCUAAGAGGUAGACAGUGGCGCAAGGGAGAGUAACGCGUGGUUACUUGCCCUCGAGACCGGGAUAGUGUCGGGAAACUGGCAGUAAUACCGGAUAACAUCUUCGGAUCAAAUGGUGUGAUUCCGCUCGAGGAUAGGACCGCGUACUAUUAGCUUGUUGGUGAGGUAACGGCUCACCAAGGCUGCGAUGGUUACCGGGUGUGAGAGCAUGGCCCGGCUCACUGGGACUGAGACACUGCCCAGACACCUACGGGUGGCUGCAGUCGAGAAUCUUCGGCAAUGGACGAAAGUCUGACCGAGCGACGCCGCGUGCGGGAUGAAGGCCCUCGGGUUGUAAACCGCUGUCAGUAGUUAGGAAAUCCAUGGGGGUUAUCCCUCAUGGUUGACCGAUCUUCAGAG